GAUGAACGCUAGCUACAGGCUUAACACAUGCAAGUCGAGGGGCAGCACAGUGUAGCAAUACAUGGGCGGCGACCGGCGCACGGGUGCGUAACGCGUAUCCAACCUUCCCGUUACUCUUGGAUAGCCUUCCGAAAGGGAGAUUAAUACAAGAUGGUAUUCAAAUUCCGCAUGUUAUUUGAACUAAAGAUUUAUCGGUAACGGAUGGGGAUGCGUGACAUUAGGUAGAUGGCGGGUAACGGCCCACCAUGCCCACGAUGUCUAGGGGUUCUGAGAGGAAGGUCCCCCACACUGGAACUGAGACACGGUCCAGACUCCUACGGGAGGCAGCAGUGAGGAAUAUUGGUCAAUGGCCGGAAGGCUGAACCAGCCAAGUAGCGUGAAGGAUGAAGGUUCUAUGGAUUGUAAACUUCUUUUAUACGGGAAUAAAACCUCCCACGUGUGGGAGCUUGUAUGUACCGUAUGAAUAAGCAUCGGCUAACUCCGUG
Molecule: ribosomal RNA, 485 nt
Filed under: uncultured bacterium
Lineage: Bacteria
Description: bacterial SSU rRNA
Rfam family: Bacterial small subunit ribosomal RNA
Source: RNAcentral